RNAcentral lists this ribosomal RNA (382 nucleotides) under uncultured fungus. RNAcentral's name for it is "SSU rRNA". It matches the Rfam family "Eukaryotic small subunit ribosomal RNA", at positions 828 to 1208 of the family's 1831-position model. Lineage: Eukaryota; Fungi. The record is from RNAcentral.
CAUCGGUUCUAUUUUGUUGGUUUCUAGGACCGCUGUAAUGAUUAAUAGGGAUAGUCGGGGGCGUCCGUAUUCAAUUGUCAGAGGUGAAAUUCUUGGAUUUAUUGAAGACGAACUACUGCGAAAGCAUUCGCCAAGGAUGUUUUCAUUAAUCAGUGAACGAAAGUUAGGGGAUCGAAGACGAUCAGAUACCGUCGUAGUCUUAACCAUAAACUAUGCCGACUAGGGAUCGGACGGUGGUUUUUUUAUGCCCCGUUCGGCACCUUACGAGGAAUCAAAGUGUUUGGGCUCGGGGGGGAGUAUGGUCGCAAGGCUGAAACUUAAAGAAGUUGACGGAAGGGCACCACAAGGCGUGGAGCCUGCGGCUUAAUUUGACUCAACACGG